UUUGGGGGUAAAAUAGAUGUAAAAAGAGGGUUCUAAGAGGAUUUUAAGAGGGUUUUAAGAAGGUUUUAAAUGGUUUUAUCUCCUCUGACCCCCUCCUUGUCCCCCCCAGCCCCAUGGCCCGGCCCUGAGCCCUGAAUGAUGCCGAAGCAGAGCCGCUGGGCGCUCUGGGGGGCGGCGCUUUUCCUCGCCUGGAACGGCCUCCUGCUGCUCUUCCUCUGGGGCCGCCCCCCUUCCUCCUCCCUCUCCUCUUCCUCCUCUUCCUCCUCCUCCUCCUCCCGCCUCCCCUCGGAGCUCAUCCGCCUGGCCCAGGACGCCGAGGCCGAGCUGGAGCGGCAGAAGGAGCUGCUGCGGCAGAUCCACCGGCUCAGCGGGCUCUGGGAGCGCCGGCGACGCCGCCAGAAGACACCGCCAACCCUCCCAACCCUCCCAACCAAGACUUCUUUGGCCUCGCCAAGCCCGGAGGAGCCGGUGUUGCCGGUGCUGGUGCUGGCCUGCGACCGCAGCACGGUGCGGCGCUGCCUGGACAAGCUGCUGCGCUACCGGCCCUCGGCGCGCCGGCACCCGCUCAUCGUCAGCCAGGACUGCGGCCACGCCGAGACGGCGGCGGUCAUCGCCUCCUACGGCGACGCCGUGGCCCACAUCCGACAGCCCGACCUCAGCGACAUCCCGGUGCCGCCGGAGCACCGCAAAUUCCAGGGGUAUUACCGCAUCGCCCGGCACUACCGCUGGGCGCUGGGGCAGGUGUUCCGCACGUUCCGCUACCGCGCCGCCAUCGUGGUGGAGGACGACCUGGAGGUGGCCCCGGACUUCUUCGAGUACUUCGAGGCGGCGCUGCCGCUGCUGCGCGACGACGCGACGCUCUGGUGCGUCUCGGCCUGGAACGACAACGGCCGCGAGCAGAUGGUGGACGUCACCCAAGCCGAGCUCCUUUAUCGCACCGAUUUCUUCCCCGGGUUGGGUUGGUUGUUGUUGGCAGAACUCUGGGACGAACUGGAGCCCAAGUGGCCUCGGGCCUUCUGGGACGACUGGAUGAGGCAACCGGAGCAGCGCCGGGGCCGCUCGUGCGUCCGGCCCGAGGUGUCCCGAACCAUGACCUUCGGCAGGAAGGGCGUGAGCCACGGCCAGUUCUUCGACCAGUACCUGAAGUUCAUCAAACUCAACGACCGCUUCGUGCCUUUCACCCGGCUGGACCUGUCCUACCUCAAGAAGGACGAGUACGAGCGCUCCUUCCUGCCCAGGGUCUACUCGGCGCCCGAGGUCAGGGUGGAGGAGCUGCAGGGCAACAGGAGGAGGGAGCUGGGGGCCGUCAGGCUCCAGUACAGCGGCCGAGACGCCUUCAAAGCCUUCGCCAAGGCCUUGGGGCUCAUGGACGACCUCAAGUCCGGCGUCCCCCGCGCCGGCUACCGCGGCAUCGUCAGCUUCGUGUACCGCGGCCGACGCGUUUACCUGGCGCCGCCCCGGGACUGGACGGGCUACGACCCCACCUGGAGUUAGCACCUGCUCCCUCAAAGCACUUUGGGGGGGUUCUCCCCCUCUUUUAGGGGUUUGGGGUGGUUUCGGUGCCCCCCCGGGGCCGAGCGAGGCCCCCAAAGGUGGUUUUGCAGAAUAAAAGGUCGAAAAACGGAAAUUCCGACUCAGAAUUCCCGCCCGUGGCUCCUGCUGGGAGUUGGCACCUGCUCCUGGCAAAGUUUUUGGGGGGUUACCCUCAGUAUUUUAGGGGUUUUGGUGCCCUGGUCAAGCGUCGCUCGGUUUCUGCCGCUCGCGGUGCUGAAAGGUUAUUUUGCAGAAUAAAAGGUCAAAAUUGGAAAUCUCACCCAAAAUUUGGGUUGUUUUGGUCAGCCAGGUCUCCUACCAAGAGUUGGCACCCACUCCCCAGAGGACUUUGGGGGGGGGUCUCCCCCUUAUUUUGAGUAUAUUAAAUUAAAUACACCCAAAACGGUGGGUUUGGGAUAUAACAAAUCAUUUAUUUACACAAUGAUUAGCACACAAUUAUUAAUUCACAAUUAAUAAUUGGUGGUUUGGGGGCAUCACAAAUCAUUGAUCAAUGCACCCAAAUCGUUUGUUUUUUGUGUAUAACAAACCAAGGAUUUUU
Molecule: RNA transcript, 2092 nt
Organism: Neopelma chrysocephalum (saffron-crested tyrant-manakin)
Lineage: Eukaryota; Metazoa; Chordata; Aves; Passeriformes; Pipridae
Gene: MGAT1
Gene name: mannosyl (alpha-1,3-)-glycoprotein beta-1,2-N-acetylglucosaminyltransferase
Exons: 4
Source: RefSeq, a predicted model, not a curated record